This 1043-nucleotide long non-coding RNA is filed under the name Equus asinus (donkey). RNAcentral describes it as "lncRNA (ENSEASG00005033769.1)". The record is from RNAcentral. Lineage: Eukaryota; Metazoa; Chordata; Mammalia; Perissodactyla; Equidae.
AAGAAGAGGCAGGAGAGAGUCAAAGUGUAAAGGGACUUGAUCCACCAUUGCUGGCUUUGAAGAUGGAAGAAGGGGGCUGUGAGCCAAGGGAUGCAGGCAGCUUCUAGAAGCUUGCAACAGCCCUCAGCUGAAGCCAGUGAGGAAAUGGGGCCCUACAACCACCGGGAACGGAAUUCUGCCUUCAGCCUCAAUGGGCUUCAAGCACACUCUUCCCCAGAGCUUCUGGAAAGGAACCCAUCCCUGCCAACACUUUGAUUUUAGCCUGGUGAGACCUGUGCCACACUCCUGACCUACAAAACUGCUACUUGUUGCAACUCAUUUCCACAUGUCAAUUUCCGAAUGAGACAAGGUUUCUGAGUGCAAGCAGUAGAUGCUGACCCAUCACUGGAAGGAUACUGGAUAAUUCACAGUCAGUGGGAGAGCUGGAGAAACAGACUUGGAAAGGGAGUAGGAGAGAAACGACUACUCAGGAAGUAACCUUGGAAGCAAAGCUAAUUCCAUUCUAAUCUGUGCUCUUGAAAUGUGAAGAUCAUAAGAAAUGAGUGAUUGAGAAGAUUCUGGAGAGCCUUGCUUGUUCCAGAUGGCUUCUGCUCCAAAAGAAGAAGCUUUUCAAGUGUCCCACGCAGUCCUGAACCCUUUGGGGCCUUCUCCUUUCACUGUGCCUCAAGCCCAAUAGAAGAAAAUCUCAUCCCAGCAGGGAAGGGAGGGUGAGGCGGAUGUGGGGGGUGUUUCAAGCAAGGUGAUUUUCUGGGUGAAAGUACUAUGUUCUUCCCAGCACUUAGCACAAAGCCUGCCACCCAGGUCAUGUGGGCGGAGAGACUUGUACUGCACCGAACAUCCUCACCUGUCAGCAGAGUAUCUGAUAGGGGUAGCAUUUACAGCACGUGCACUAAAAAUGCUAUUGUACCUUAUGCUUUACUUUAAUUACUCAAACCGGUGUUGUUUCCAGUGUUUUUUUCUCUCUCCUAAUGAACCUUCAACUGCUUGUACCUCCUUUCUCCCCCAUGGAAAAGUUGCAUAAUGAUGGCUUGUUUACAAACCUG